UCCCGGUUGGCCCGGGCGGUCUCGCCUGAAAAAUACAACAGACGACAAGGGUUGCGCUCGUUGCGGGACUUAACCCAACAUCUCACGACACGAGCUGACGACGGCCAUGCAGCACCUGUCACCGCGUUCCCGAAGGCACAGCACCCUUUCGGGCGCCUUCGCGGGAUGUCAAGCCUCGGUAAGGUUCUUCGCGUAGCAUCGAAUUAAACCACAUGAUCCACUGCUUGUGCGGAUCCCCGUCAAUUCCUUUGAGUUUUAAUCUUGCGAUCGUACUCCCCAGGCGGCAUAUUUAACGCGUUAGCUACUCAGCACAGAGGGUCGAUACUCCAUACUAAUAAUAUGCAUCGUUUACGGCGUGGACUAC
Molecule: unclassified non-coding RNA, 364 nt
Filed under: uncultured bacterium
Lineage: Bacteria
Description: contains 16S-23S intergenic spacer region
Source: RNAcentral